UGUAAGAAUAAAUGGUCGAACAGACCAAAACUUUAAACUUCUACACCUAAAAUUUAUCUUAAUCCAACAUCGAGGUCGCAAUCUUUUUUUUCGAUUUGAUCUCUUAAAAAAUAUUACGCUGUUAUCCCUUAAGUAACUUAAUCUCUUAAUCAUAAAUUAUGGAUCAACUCAUUUAUUAAUGAAAAAAAGUUAAUUUAAUUUUCCUAUCACCCCAAUAAAAUAAACUAUAAAGUUUUAAAGGGUCUUCUCGUCCUUCAAUCUUAUUUUAGCUUUUUAACUAAAAAAUUAAAUUCUAAAUCAAUUUAUUAGAGACAAUAAAUAUUUCAUUCAAUCAUUCAUUCAAGCUUCUAAUUAAGAAACUAUUUAUUAUGCUACCUUUGCACAGUCAAUAUACUGCGGCCUUUUUCAAUGGGCAGAUUAGACUUUAUAUU
This 431-nucleotide ribosomal RNA is filed under the name Lentistivalius klossi klossi. RNAcentral describes it as "partial 16S ribosomal RNA". The record is from RNAcentral. Lineage: Eukaryota; Metazoa; Arthropoda; Insecta; Siphonaptera; Stivaliidae.